AUCAAGGUCCUCAUUCCACUGACGCGCUGCAAUUCCCACAAAGAGACCAUUCAGGGACAGCUGAAAGUGCGUCGACCGGGAACCUACGCGCUCAUCUUCGACAACUCUUUCUCACGGUUUAUCUCCAAGAAAGUCUUCUAUCAUCUGACCAUGGAAAAGCCCAUCAUCUACGAUGGAAGCGACUUCCCCUGAAGCUUUAGCGUCACAUGGACGUCACUUAAGUAUCGCCAUGGAAACUGAAGGGAUAUUAAGG
Long non-coding RNA from Hippocampus comes (tiger tail seahorse), 253 nucleotides. RefSeq lists it as uncharacterized. The record is from RefSeq and is a predicted model, not a curated record. NCBI's taxonomy places the organism in Eukaryota, Metazoa, Chordata, Actinopteri, Syngnathiformes, Syngnathidae. The transcript is spliced from 2 exons.